AGGAAAUUUCUGGUGGGCCUUCGCGGCUCCGCUGGGUUGGCAGCCGCUUGAGCCACUGCGAGGAAAGCAAAGUCUGGGCCAUGGAGAUGAGCCUAGUCCUGCUGUUCCUGAUCCGCACUGCCCUUUUUGCACCCCAGGGAGCUGCUGCUGACGGCGCCUCCCUCUGUCGCCAAAGUUGGAGUGCAGUGGCGCGGUCUCGGCUCACUGCAAGCUCCGCCUCCCGGAUUCAAGUGAUUCCCCUGCCUUAGCCUCCUAAGUAGCUGGGAUUACAAGUGCCCACCACCACACCCGGCUAAUAUUUUGUAUUUUAAUAGAGACUGGGUUUCACCAUGUUGACCGGGAUGGUCUCAAUCUCCUGACCUCGUGAUCUGCCUGCCUAAGCCUCCCGAAGUGCUGGGAUUACAGGCGUGAGCCACCACACCUAGCUG
Molecule: small RNA, 428 nt
Filed under: Homo sapiens (human)
Lineage: Eukaryota; Metazoa; Chordata; Mammalia; Primates; Hominidae
Description: HLA-F antisense RNA 1 (ENSG00000243430.1)
Source: RNAcentral